RNAcentral lists this long non-coding RNA (7781 nucleotides) under Lactuca sativa (garden lettuce). RNAcentral's name for it is "long non-coding RNA (LSAT_LNC007304)". The record is from RNAcentral. Lineage: Eukaryota; Viridiplantae; Streptophyta; Magnoliopsida; Asterales; Asteraceae.
AAACAUGCAAAGUGAAACACAAGAAUAAUACUAAUCCCAUAUGGCCUCAAACCUUUGAGCAUAAAUAAAACACCUUUUAUUUAUCACCAUAUCGAUUACUCAUUAUUUGUUGUUUCGGGUAAUCAACUUCUUACUUGAAUUAUUACACUUGUCCCAUGCUCUUAUCAUGCACACAAUGUUUACCUACGGUUCUUACUUUGUGAAAUAGAUCAAAUGAACACAUUUCCAAUCAUAAUCAUUUCACAACUCCUAAUCCAUUUUCAUAAGUGAAAGAAUAUCAAAUUCUUGCCACAUAUGGAAUAUGUUAGAUUCUAACAUUUUAUGCAAUGAUCCUUUUGUAAUAUCACUACACUGAAGUCACAAUGACUAUUGCCAAUGAAAUUACAAAGUCCUUUAUCGGAGAUUGUUACAAGACAAUUCCAUAGAUGUGAUGUCUCUCACUCAAAGUACAUUCCUUUUAACAUCCUUUUGCAUAAAAUUUCUAAUCUAGACAUUGAUUCUCAAUAUCCAAUUCCCAAUAUGGAAACCUUUCCAUACUUACCAUAUGACAACUCAUUCUCAAUAGAAUCUUAUCUAUUCAUAAUAAUAUCGAUAUGGUCCAUCCAAUAUCAUACUUCCAACUACUCACAAGCGACUAAUCCUCAGCGAACUUUGGAUUAUCCUUUGAUAGUUGUUUAAUUAUCUUAGUCAAAAUCGAUUGUAGUCCUUUUUCCCUCUAAAUGCACUAGAAAUUUAGAAAAUUUUUAGAAUGGUCAAGAAUUACAGCAUUUGCAAUCUAUCCUAUACCCGAAGCAUAUGGGACACGAUGCAUAAUGUCUUACUUAAAGAUUUGAUACUUUAUCAAUCUUCUGCCAUAAUAUCUUAUGUUUCACGUUCUUAUGAUUCGAAUUAUGAUGAGGAAUGUCGUAAUCAUAAUCAAAAUUUAAGAACACACUAUGUAUGUUUGACUAAAAAUAUUAACAUUCCACAACCUAAGCCUUUAGAUUUGAAAUGAAGCAUAAUAUUCUCUCCCUUAAUUAUAGAAAACCAACUAUUCAACCCUUACAACUUUGCAAAGUAUGACUCUUGUUUUCUAUAAUUAAUAUUGCUAACUUGCAAUACCUGCCUUAAAAAUCAUACAAUCAUAACAUUUAUGCUCCCAUUAUCAUGAUGAUUAUUAUAAACAUAACACUUAUGCUCCCACUAGCUUUGACACAUAUUCAGAAACAGCUUAACUUUCAGCAAAAUAAUGCCUAUUUAAUUUCUUUAAGUUCAUAUUUCUAAUACCCAAUGCUUUGAUAAUCUUUUAUCAAGGCUUUAUAAACUUAUACACCUUUGCCUUAGAUAGUUCAUGUGUGUGUCUUAAACAAUUCAGACUAAUUGCCAAAUCUCACAAUUCGAAUCAUGGAAAGGGAUACCGUAACCAUAAUCGAAUUUGAGAGUACAAUUUUCACAAUUGCUAUCUUCUUAAGAUCUAUCUUAGUGAAAGCAUUUCCUUACAAUCAUUUUCAUGAAGGAGGGAAUCUUAUGACACUUAGAUUUUAUGGUGUAUGAGUUCCUAUCCAUGUGAAUUUGCCAAAACCAAAGUUUGUGACAAAUCCAAGCUCAUAUGGACUGAACUUUCNUCAGACUAAUUGCCAAACCUCACAAUUCAAAUCAUGGAAAGGGAUACCGUAACCAUAAUCGAAUUUGAGAAUCCAAUUAUCACAAUCUCUAUAUUAUUAAAAUCUCUUUUAGUGAAAGCAUUUUCUCACAGUCAUUUUCAUGAAGGAGAGAAUCUUAUGACACUUAGAUUUUAAUGGUGUAUGUGUUCCUAUCCAUGCGAAUUUAUCAAAACAAAGUUUACGACAAAUUCAAACUCAUAUGGAUCGAACUUUCUUAAUCUUGAUUUCUUGCCUUAUGGUAACUCGGCUGCCCACCAUGUCUUCCAAGUAGUUAAGCAUCUCACCCUGUCCCAUCAAUGUACUUCUCAUUCCUUGCCUUUUAUGCAUUCAAAUGAGAACUCAUAGAACUAACAUGCAUAAUUAACUAGAUUGGAAUGGCACAGAAACAAGAUAAUGUCAACACGAUAGGUUGUAAACCUCUACUCAUGUGCUAGUGAUGAUCGAUAAGGUUUAUUCUUGAUUUGUUCUUGAAACUUUUCAAGACCAUUAAGACUCCCACUGACUCCUUGACAUAUAAGAUUCUUCUAUCAAUGAGCAUUUCUUGACAAACAAAUAUUCAAGAGUUAGUGUAGUUUUUAUCAAGAUAAAACACUUCAUAAAUUGGUCCUAGUUGGUCUUUGUCUUAUCCAAGACAUCACAACUUUCCAACUUCAAAUAUGGAAGAAUAAGAAAACCUUUUUCCAAAUUCUGCAUUUGAUGAAUGUUUUAAACUUUCUUAAGACUUGUCACUCAAUGUCACAAUCUUAACUUUAAGACUUGUUUUGGAACGAAUUAUGAUUGGCUUCUUGAUUUAACCAUUUCUUCAAUUCUCGAUUCCUCUUCUUAGACAUACAAUUGCACAAAGACUCACUUAGAGGAUCAAUUUAGAUAUGGUUCUCAAUCAUUAAGACCUACCAUAAAACAUAAAAGGUACUCUCCCUUCUUCUUAGAAUAGAGAAACUUUUAUCUUUCUGCCUACUUGAUUCUUCUUAUUCGUUUUGCUAUUGAUUUAAACCUUUUCAAUCAAUUCAAAAUUAUACUUAAUCUUAUAAGUAUAAUCAUAUUUACUAAACCUUUAGUAAAUCAUGACGAAUAUCUUUGUUACUCUUAUGGUGGACUUGAUCAACACACAACUUUAUGUACUCGAUCUCCUAGUCCUUCACUUGACACUUUGUCAACGACUUAGUCUAAUUUCCAAAUAUGAAAUUUCUCAUUCAUCGUGCAACCAAGUUGCAUGAUUCCAAGUUUCUGUCCAAUUGAAACUUGGGCGAUGAGAAACUCUCCCUAUUUGGUAAAUUCUCGACAUUUCCACAAUUAACAUAAUUAAGAAUCACAUCCAUUCGUUGUAGAAAUAUGCAAACAUCAAUUUUUCAUAACGAUUUCAUUGCAAGGAAAUAAAUAAAUAAAUAAAUGAGUAAAAUCAAAUUUUAUUUUAUUCAUAAAAGCAGCGGAAAACAUUUCUCCUUACAAUGAAAAUCAACUCAAAAAAACUAUGUAAUCAAAUAUUUCUAUCAUAACUUUCUAAGCUCAAAUCUAAUCUUCGAAUCCAUGCGAUCGAGAUCCAUUUCUUCGUGAUUAGACUCAUCUUGCUUUCUCAUCAAGCUUCCUCUCUUUUCACUGAUCCUGCAAAACAUUCAAAUGCAAUCUUAUCACAUUAUGUAUUAAGAAUCAAUGAAUAGGAACUUAAUGGAGUUAGAUAGUGGAUUUUACCUGAAGCACAACCAUACUCUUUGACUCUCCCAUCUUCUGGACUCUUCAGGCUCUUAGGGCAGACUUGUAUCCAACGCCCUUUCUCUUGGCAGCAAACGCAGGUCGGUUCUCCUAGAACAUCCUCGGAAGCAUGGUUGGUUGACUUUCCCAACAAAUAUGCUCCAUUGCUUUGCCAAAUCAUUUCUGAUUCAGCAGCAAUGAGCAUGUAAGUUAGGUCAAUGAGGUUUUCGUCAUGAUCCAUCAUAUAAUACUUUCUUUUGAACUCAUUAUAUGAUUCGGGAAGUGACUGCAGAACCCAGUUCACAGCCAACUUAUCCGGGAAUGACGCACCCAACAUUAUCAACCUAUCGAUGUGUGAUUUCAUUCCUAGAACGUGGGCACACACGGGUUUACCAUCUUCAUGUUUCAUUUCCAAUAGGGCUUUAGUGACAUUGAACCUUUCAAUUCUUCGAUCUUGUGGGUUAGGGAGAAUAACGGGAGGAGGUGGAGGAAGUGAAGCAUGAUUUCUUGUUCCUCGAUCGAAUCGUGGAAUAUCAUCUUCAUGUGGAAUGCUUGUUCCACGGGAUUUGGGAAGACCAUAGUUGUCGUACUUUGACAUCUACAAAACGGGAGAAAAUAAAUUCAAGUUAGUUGAUUGAUUGAGUCCUUAAUAAAUCACCCAAAUGAGAUAUUAAGGCUAGGACCCAACACAAUACGCUACAACCUAGAAAAGGGAUGCCGUAAUCUAGUUGCAGAAUAUUUGAAGGUAAGUGAAUGACGAUUCACUAAUUUCCACCAUGAAAAACGAAAAAGAAAUUUAAGUUUUAAAUCUAUGAAAACUCCUAGAUCCUUUGAGAUUCAUUGAACCUUUCAAUGGCAUGUUUAAAUCUCGAUAUGCCCCUCUAGUUUGUGACUGGGAUGCCGAGGAUCACAAAACGGGUGUGAAUAACCAUGCAAACUUAGAUGGUGCCCUCACAUGUUAUAGUCACCUAUUCGUUGCGCCGGUAAACCACACACGCUCCACCGAACUAUGACAAACUUUGAGUCACCCUUUACUACCUUUGCAUAGAACCAUUUAGUGUGUCGGUUAACCACACGCGCUCCACUAACGUCUUCGCAAGGGCACAAAGUGUAAUUUCAUGGAAUUGCAUCAAUUCACUUUUGCCUAAAGUAACUAAGAUUAGGAAAUUUAUGAAAGCAAUUAGUUACUUUUAUACUUCAUUAUACUUAUAAUGGAAGGUUUCUGUCCUAUCCUACCCGUUCGGCUAACGACCCUCCACUAGUCAAGAGUGCAGUGGGUAAGAGUGGAUACCCAUUCAAUCGCCAUUUUAUAGGCAAUUUCCUUAAACACCCCUUAUAGACCAGCUUCGUGAAUGAGGUCUACUAACGGUAAGACUGACUUUUACUCAUAUAUAAUGUCAGACUUUUAAUGUUAUAUAUAGUAUAGGGUGUAUUUUACACUUUUAAAAUACUAGGUGGUCAAAUUUAACAAUUAUACUUUUAAUUCAAUUAAAUUGUAAACCAAAACUUUAUGGAUUUAUUAAAUCUCUUUUAAUUAUACACUUUAAUUAAUUAAUAAAACCAUAAGGGUGUGAUUUGAACUUUUUCAAAACUAUACUAGGGUUUUAGAAUUUAACAUUCCUAAAUAAAACCUUUAAUCAACUUUUAAAUUCCAAAACUUGAGGGCAAGUUUUGAAACAUUUCAAAACAUUAGGGUUUAGAAUUUAAAUAUUCAUCAAAAUUAAACUAUUAAUCAAAAUUUAAAUUCCAAAACUUGAGGGCAAGUUUUGAAACCUUUUUCAAAAAAUUAGGGUUUCAACUAUUUAAAUUUCAAAACAAAAAAACUUUUGGGGUCAAAUUUAAACUAUAAAACCUAAAGGGGAAAAUUGAAACUUUUCAUAACACAAGGAUCAAAUAACAAAUAAUAUAAAUUAAACAAUUAAUUUCAUCAUUAUCUAUAUUUGACCUAAUUUCAAUUUCUUGCAAAAUAAGUUACCCAAUUAAUACAAAUAAUCAAAUUUAAUCAUAUAAGGAAGUUAUUAUCUAAUCAAUUGGUAAUUAUCUUUUGUUUAAUCAAGGAUAUACUCAUAAAUAUGUAUAAAAUCGGAUUUUAAUGAUCUAAAACAGAUAAGGCAAGUAUCCAUGAGAAAAACAGCAAGAAAUCCUGAAAUCCCCUCUUUCUGACGCUCGAACUCGCCGAGUACCACACUGGACUCGCCGAGUUGAGGCCUACUCGCCGAGUACACUGUGGUACUCGCCGAGUUCAUCAGGCAGGGAGCUCAAAACUCGAUUUUGCAACUUGAACAAACAUACAAGGCAUCAAUACAAUAGAAACCAAUCAAGGCUCUGAUACCACUGAUGGGUUUUAGCCAUAAGAACAUCCUAUGUGCUCAUACAAACCCUAAUGCUUGGAUCUAGGUUUCUCUAUUGUACAUGCAAGUUAUCCAAGACUAUAAACCCUAAUUCUAGCAUACAAGUAAUCAUAUUAACAUAAGAAUGGGUUUAAGAUAUUACCUUGAUUGUUAUGUAGCAAUAACAAUCACAAAUCCUCCUUGUAAUGACUUUAGAAAGCUUAGAGUCACAAAUGUCACUCCUCUAAUGGUUCACAAACACCAAGAGCAAGAGGAUGAAGAGGAGAAGAGAAGGAGGCUGCCCAAAACGUGUGGAAACCCUAGACAACAAGUUCACCACGUUUUUGGGGCAUAAGGGUUCUUUAAAUAGUGAGGCUAUUAGGGUUAUCUAACAAGGAAACCCUAAUUUGGAUGCUUAAGCCCUAAGCAACCCAUGGACUCCUUUCCUUAAAGGCCUUGGACGAUUUCUAAUGGGUUUCCCCAUAGAAUUCGUCCAACCUUAUAAUAUAAGGCAAUCCAUAGCCCAAUUGCAAUUAUCUUAUAAUUACAAUUCCAGUCCCUUAAGUUUAAUUAAUCUCUUUUAGUCACUAAACUUAAUUCUUAUUAGUUCUUGACUAAUAUUAAUUAAACAAUCUGAUUUCUCCUUUAAUAUAUUAUUCUCAUAAUAUAUUAAUAAAUCAUAUUUAAUCCUUUCUCUUCAUAAUUCAUCCUAUCAAGUUGCUUUGGUGAAGGCAACCCAAAAUGACCAUGCACCAUCGGGUCAAGUACAUACCAAAAUAGUUAUGGACUUAGACACUAAUCCAACAGUCUCCCACUUGGAUAAGUCUAAUAACUAUUAUGCGUAUGACUUCAGAUCCUGAUCUGCAAUCGUAGCUUUCCAAAGCCGCUGUCAACUCUGAUCCUAUCAGAUACGCGUGUCCUUUAGAUAAGGGAUCAUAUAUUCCUCCAUUCUAGAUAUCGUAUAAGACAUAAUUUCUAGUCAUUCUCUUGGUACUAUUUCUCGACUUCCGAUUUAUGACGGCUGACUAAUUGAACAAAUCAAAUUAGCCCUAGCCUGGCCGAGCAUUUACGUUAGUCAUCACUAAAUCAUCAAGGGGCCCACAAAUAUCGCUUUUACCCUACUUUGGAUAAAAGGAACGGAUAAACUUUGAUUCAAUGCUUGCUUGCACUCACUUACCGAAUCACACACAACAAUAUGUUUUAUAACACCAAGUUACUAGUGCGUUUACAUAUUAUCAAUGUGCAACCGAUUCGCAAGAUACAACUCACACAUCUCGGUUUCAAGAAUAUAAGAUGUUAUCGUCUCACCAAUCACUCGUGAUACAAUUCAUGGAGUGAUCCAAGUGAGCGUGGGUUUAAUCCAAUGCUCAAAUCAUAUUCAUAAGCACUCAUGAACGUUGCAGCAAACAUUUGCUUAUGUCUAAUACUCUUUAGACAAUCCACACACCAAUUCACGACAGUCUUUAUUCAUACCUACUUCCAACAUAUGAACGACUGUGGCCCGUUCGAAUAAUUUGACUGUUCUAAACCAAUUAAAUUAUUCAGGAAGUCAAAACAUGCAAAGUGAAACACAAGAAUAAUACUAAUCCCAUAUGGCCUCAAACCUUUGAGCAUAAAUAAAACACCUUUUAUUUAUCACCAUAUCGAUUACUCAUUAUUUGUUGUUUCGGGUAAUCAACUUUUUACUUGAAUUAUUACAACACUUGUCCCAUGCUCUUAGCAUGCACACAAUGUUUACCUAUGGUUCUUACUUUGUGAAAUAGAUCAAAUGAACACAUUUCCAAUCAUACUCAUUUCACAACUCCCAAUCCUUUUACAAGUGUAAGAAUAUCAAAUUCUUGCCACUUAUAGAAUAUGCUAGAUUCUAACAUUGUAUGCAAUGAUCCUUUUGAAAUGUCACUGCACUAAACUCACAAUGACUAUUGCCAAUGAUAUUACAAAGUCCUCUAUCGGAGAUUGUUACAAGACAAUUCCUUAUAUAUGAUGUCUCUCACUCAAAGUACAUUCCUUUGAACAUCCUUUUGCAUAAAAGUUUCUAAUCUAGACAUAGAUUUUCAAUAUUCAAUUCCCAAUAUGGACACGCUUCCAUAUUUUCCAUAUGACAACUCAUUCUUAAUAG